RNAcentral lists this ribosomal RNA (563 nucleotides) under uncultured bacterium. RNAcentral's name for it is "partial 16S ribosomal RNA". It matches the Rfam family "Bacterial small subunit ribosomal RNA", at positions 355 to 907 of the family's 1533-position model. The record is from RNAcentral.
UGGGGAAUAUUGCACAAUGGGCGCAAGCCUGAUGCAGCCAUGCCGCGUGUGUGAAGAAGGCCUUCGGGUUGUAAAGCACUUUCAGCGAGGAGGAAGGUGGUGAGCUUAAUACGCUCAUCAAUUGACGUUACUCGCAGAAGAAGCACCGGCUAACUCCGUGCCAGCAGCCGCGGUAAUACGGAGGGUGCAAGCGUUAAUCGGAAUUACUGGGCGUAAAGCGCNCGCAGGCGGUUUGUUAAGUCAGAUGUGAAAUCCCCGGGCUCAACCUGGGAACUGCAUUUGAAACUGGCAAGCUAGAGUCUCGUAGAGGGGGGUAGAAUUCCAGGUGUAGCGGUGAAAUGCGUAGAGAUCUGGAGGAAUACCGGUGGCGAAGGCGGCCCCCUGGACGAAGACUGACGCUCAGGUGCGAAAGCGUGGGGCAGCAAACAGGAUUAGAUACCCUGGUAGUCCAGCGCUGUAAAACGAUGUCGAUUUGGAGGUUGUGCCCUUGAGGCGUGGNUUCCGAGCUAACGCGUUAAAUCGACCGCCUGGGGAGUACGGCCGCAAGGUUAAAAACUCAAAGG